RNAcentral lists this ribosomal RNA (775 nucleotides) under Citrobacter braakii. RNAcentral describes it as "partial 23S ribosomal RNA". It matches the Rfam family "Bacterial large subunit ribosomal RNA", at positions 310 to 1084 of the family's 2925-position model. Lineage: Bacteria; Pseudomonadati; Pseudomonadota; Gammaproteobacteria; Enterobacterales; Enterobacteriaceae. The record is from RNAcentral.
CGGAGUUACAAAGGAACGAGGUAGAUGAAGAGGUCUGGAAAGGCCCGCCAUAGGAGGUAACAGCCCUGUAGUCAAAACUUCGUUCUCUCCUGAGUGGAUCCUGAGUACGGCGGAACACGUGAAAUUCCGUCGGAAUCCGGGAGGACCAUCUCCCAAGGCUAAAUACUCCCUAGUGACCGAUAGUGAACCAGUACCGUGAGGGAAAGGUGAAAAGCACCCCGGAAGGGGAGUGAAAGAGAUCCUGAAACCGUGUGCCUACAAGUAGUCAGAGCCCGUUAACGGGUGAUGGCGUGCCUUUUGUAGAAUGAACCGGCGAGUUACGAUCCCGUGCAAGGUUAAGCAGAAGAUGCGGAGCCGCAGCGAAAGCGAGUCUGAAUAGGGCGCAUGAGUACGUGGUCGUAGACCCGAAACCAGGUGAUCUACCCAUGUCCAGGGUGAAGUUCAGGUAACACUGAAUGGAGGCCCGAACCCACGCACGUUGAAAAGUGCGGGGAUGAGGUGUGGGUAGGGGUGAAAUGCCAAUCGAACCUGGAGAUAGCUGGUUCUCUCCGAAAUAGCUUUAGGGCUAGCCUCAAGGUAAGAGUCUUGGAGGUAGAGCACUGAUUGGACUAGGGGCCCCUACCGGGUUACCGAAUUCAGUCAAACUCCGAAUGCCAAUGACUUAUCCUUGGGAGUCAGACUGCGAGUGAUAAGAUCCGUAGUCGAAAGGGAAACAGCCCAGACCGCCAGCUAAGGUCCCAAAGUAUACGUUAAGUGGAAAAGGAUGUGGAGUUGC